RNAcentral lists this ribosomal RNA (617 nucleotides) under uncultured bacterium. RNAcentral describes it as "bacterial SSU rRNA". It matches the Rfam family "Bacterial small subunit ribosomal RNA", at positions 338 to 945 of the family's 1533-position model. The record is from RNAcentral.
CCUACGGGAGGCAGCAGUGGGGAAUAUUGCGCAAUGGGGGAAACCCUGACGCAGCAACGCCGCGUGAGUGAGGAAGGACUUCGGUCUGUAAAGCUCUGUUAAUGAGGAAAAAAUGGUAGUUGGUCUAAUAGGCCGAUUAUUUGAUGGUACUCAUAGAGGAAGCACCGGCUAACUUCGUGCCAGCAGCCGCGGUAAUACGAAGGGUGCAAGCGUUGUUCGGAUUUAUUGGGCGUAAAGCGCGCGUAGGCGGACCUGCAAGUAAGAUGUGAAAUCUCGAGGCUCAACCUCGAAACUGCGUCUUAAACUACAGGUCUAGAAUCUCGGAGGGGGAAGGGGAAUUUCGCAUGUAGGGGUAAAAUCCGUAGAUAUGCGAAGGAACACCAGAGGCGAAGGCGCCUUCCUGGACGAGUAUUGACGCUGAGGCGCGAAAGCGUGGGGAUCAAACAGGAUUAGAUACCCUGGUAGUCCACGCUGUAAACGAUGAACACUAGGUAUUGGAGGAUUUGACCCCUUCAGUGCCGUAGCUAACGCGUUAAGNGUUCCGCCUGGGAAAGUACGGUCGCAAGCUAAACUUAAGGAAUUGACGGNUUGAGAGNGCGAGCGACGACGAGGAGAGG